AGGGGAUAUGGAUAGAGGUGAUGAGGAGAGAGAGAGAGAAGGGGAUAUGGAUAGAUAGGUGAUGGGGAGAGAGAGAAAAAGGGCAGGAUGAGAGAAAGAUGUGAGGAUUUUAUGAUGGUUCAAUGUGGGCCCUGUGAGUGUGAGAGUAUGUAUUGGUAAAUAAAGUUAGAGUAGCCAUUCUCUAUGGAUGUCCCUGAAAGUUGAAUAUCAUAGUGCCACAGCUAAGGAAUACGCCACACACACCUCAACCUGUGUUUUAGGGGAAAACAAUCAGAGGAAACCCAUAGUGUCCUCUUCAAUUUGUCAGUUUUGCCGUUCAGUAACAGUAUCAGAUAUCAAAGUUGAUCAGUUACUGAAAAGUGUGGAAGGGGGGGGGGGGGACUCAAAAUGGCACAGAGAAUACCCUUCCUAAAGUAGGUUGAUGUCAAAAGGACAGUAACAAUAUAAAACCAUACCAGAUGAGAAGGAGAGCGAAAAGGGGGAUGAGAGAAGGAAAGGAAGAUGGAAAAAUAAGACCAUUACAUAUUGUCAAGAGAUGAACGAAAUGGAUAAUGCAUGUGUGGUAACCACAAGACACUCCAUUAGUCAUAAUUCAAUUUACGACCUAGUCACCACUGACAUGUCACAUUUUGACUCAUAUGCUGAGUGGCACCAGAUAUUCCUACUAGUCAGCAGAGGGAGGAUUUAAGCGCUCGUCGCAACUGAACUCAACGCUCAUUCAGGUGAUAAUGAAUGUCGACAGUGCUUUCAUGUUUCCUCGCUUGCUGGAUAAAAAGUGCUGUCCCAUAUUUUUCUCCCCAGCACUGCGGGCUGUCAUGUCCGCCGACAGCCCUUUAAAAAUGGCCAAGAGAGGAGAGAGAAAGACAGAGACAGAAUGUCAGUAUCACCAGGGAGACUGCUGACUCCAGGGAGACUGUAAUCCCUGUAACUUUCCAGCUCUCCCCUCCUCGUCUCUCGCUCCGUUGUUGUUUUCCCUCAACAUACGCUCUCUGGGAUGUCAGUGGGCGGAGCUACGAGGAUGUCAGUGGGCGGAGCUACGAGGGUCGUCCGUGAAAUGGGACACACCUCUUCCCCCUCAAUACGUAGAGGAGACUCUCUCCACACAGGCAUACUGUUGUUUUUUUGGUUGUGGCCUUUUGGGGGAUUCUUUGCAUUGUAUUUGUUAUGGCACUCAUACUACACUGUUACCUAGAUAUAGUAAACAAAUAUAUUUAUUAAAUAAAGUUAUUUCUCCA
Long non-coding RNA from Oncorhynchus kisutch (coho salmon), 1235 nucleotides. RefSeq lists it as uncharacterized. The record is from RefSeq and is a predicted model, not a curated record. The transcript is spliced from 2 exons. NCBI's taxonomy places the organism in Eukaryota, Metazoa, Chordata, Actinopteri, Salmoniformes, Salmonidae.